AUAAAUAGCCAUAUCACACUGCAGCCCAAGACCGGUUGCCCACUGAAGCUAAGCAGGGUUGAGCCUGGUCAGUACCUGGAUGGGAGACCUCCUGGGAAAACUAGGUUGCUGCUGGAA
RNAcentral lists this ribosomal RNA (117 nucleotides) under Sinocyclocheilus anshuiensis. Lineage: Eukaryota; Metazoa; Chordata; Actinopteri; Cypriniformes; Cyprinidae. The record is from RNAcentral.